CAAGGAAUAGUUUAUAUAAAAUAUUAAUUUUGGAGAUUAAUGAAAGAAGUUAUUCUUUCCUUGA
RNAcentral lists this transfer RNA (64 nucleotides) under Stictonectes escheri. Its description in RNAcentral is "tRNA-Pro". Lineage: Eukaryota; Metazoa; Arthropoda; Insecta; Coleoptera; Dytiscidae. The record is from RNAcentral.